This 253-nucleotide ribosomal RNA is filed under the name uncultured bacterium. RNAcentral's name for it is "partial 16S ribosomal RNA". It matches the Rfam family "Bacterial small subunit ribosomal RNA", at positions 524 to 776 of the family's 1533-position model. The record is from RNAcentral.
UACGUAGGGCGCAAGCGUUGUCCGGAAUUAUUGGGCGUAAAGAGCUCGUAGGUGGUCUGUUGCGUCCGCUGUGAAAACCCAAGGCUUAACCCUGGGCUGGCAGUGGAUACGGGCAGACUAGAGGUAGGUAGGGGAGAAUGGAAUUCCCGGUGUAGCGGUGAAAUGCGCAGAUAUCGGGAGGAACACCGGUGGCGAAGGCGGUUCUCUGGGCCUUACCUGACACUGAGGAGCGAAAGCGUGGGGAGCGAACAGG